GACGAACGCUGGCGGCGUGCUUAACACAUGCGAGUCGAACGGAAAGGCCCUGCUUUUGUGGGGUGCUCGAGUGGCGAACGGGUGAGUAACACGUGAGUAACCUGCCCUUGACUUUGGGAUAACUUCAGGAAACUGGGGCUAAUACCGGAUAGGAGCUCCUGCUGCAUGGUGGGGGUUGGAAAGUUUCGGCGGUUGGGGAUGGACUCGCGGCUUAUCAGCUUGUUGGUGGGGUAGUGGCUUACCAAGGCUUUGACGGGUAGCCGGCCUGAGAGGGUGACCGGCCACAUUGGGACUGAGAUACGGCCCAGACUCCUACGGGAGGCAGCAGUGGGGAAUAUUGCACAAUGGGCGGAAGCCUGAUGCAGCAACGCCGCGUGCGGGAUGAAGGCCUUCGGGUUGUAAAACGCUUUCGCCUGUGACGAAGCGUGAGUGACGGUAAUGGGUAAAGAAGCACCGGCUAACUACGUG
This 468-nucleotide ribosomal RNA is filed under the name uncultured bacterium. RNAcentral describes it as "partial 16S ribosomal RNA". It matches the Rfam family "Bacterial small subunit ribosomal RNA", at positions 28 to 507 of the family's 1533-position model. The record is from RNAcentral.